ACGAACGCUGGCGGCGUGCUUAACACAUGCAAGUCGAACGGAAAGGCCCUGCUUUUGUGGGGUGCUCGAGUGGCGAACGGGUGAGUAACACGUGAGUAACCUGCCCUUGACUUUGGGAUAACUUCAGGAAACUGGGGCUAAUACCGGAUAGGAGCUCCUGCUGCAUGGUGGGGGUUGGAAAGUUUCGGCGGUUGGGGAUGGACUCGCGGCUUAUCAGCUUGUUGGUGGGGUAGUGGCUUACCAAGGCUUUGACGGGUAGCCGGCCUGAGAGGGUGACCGGCCACAUUGGGAAUGAGAGACGGCCCAGACGCCUACGGGAGGCAGCAGUGGGGAAUAUGGCACAAUGGGCGGAAGCCUGAUGCAGCAACGCCGCGUGCGGGAGGACGGCCUUCGGGUUGUAAACCGCUUUCGCCUGUGACGAAGCGUGAGUGACGGUAAUGGGUAAAGAAGCACCGGCUAACUACGU
Molecule: ribosomal RNA, 466 nt
Filed under: uncultured bacterium
Lineage: Bacteria
Description: partial 16S ribosomal RNA
Rfam family: Bacterial small subunit ribosomal RNA
Source: RNAcentral